This 481-nucleotide ribosomal RNA is filed under the name uncultured bacterium. RNAcentral describes it as "partial 16S ribosomal RNA". It matches the Rfam family "Bacterial small subunit ribosomal RNA", at positions 28 to 507 of the family's 1533-position model. The record is from RNAcentral.
GACGAACGUUGGCGGCGUGCUUAAUACAUGCAAGUCAACUGAAGCAGUGGUAGCAAUAUCGCUGUGGAGGUGGCGCACGGGUGAGUAACACGUAGGUAAUCUGCCUUCAGGUCUGGCAUAACUCCGGGAAACCGGGGCUAAUAGCAGAUGAUGCAGCGGCUCGGCAUCGAGACAGUUGUUAAAGCUAUGGCGCCUGAAGAUGAGCCUGCGUCUGAUUAGCUAGUUGGCGGGGUAACGGCCCACCAAGGCAACGAUCAGUAGCUGGUCUGAGAGGAUGAUCAGCCACACUGGAACUGAGACACGGUCCAGACUCCUACGGGAGGCAGCAGUAAGGAAUAUUGCUCAAUGGGAGAAAUCCUGAAGCAGCAACGCCGCGUGAGGGACGAAGGGCUUUUGCUUGUAAACCUCUGUAGUGAGAGAAAAAAAUCCCAAUCUUUGGGACAUGAUGGUAUCUCAAAAGUAAGCCCCGGCUAACUACGUG